RNAcentral lists this transfer RNA (76 nucleotides) under bacterium. RNAcentral describes it as "tRNA-Ile". It matches the Rfam family "tRNA". Rfam says of the family: Transfer RNA (tRNA) molecules are approximately 80 nucleotides in length. Their secondary structure includes four short double-helical elements and three loops (D, anti-codon, and T loops). The record is from RNAcentral.
GUCGUCGUAGCUCAGCGGUUAGAGCAUUGCUUUGAUAAAGCAAGGGUCGGAAGUUCAAAUCUUCUCGGCGACUCCA